Acanthosepion pharaonis is the source of this 96-nucleotide non-coding RNA. Lineage: Eukaryota; Metazoa; Mollusca; Cephalopoda; Sepiida; Sepiidae. The record is from the annotation of a GenBank genome assembly.
AUUGAAAAUCCGGUUCUCGUUCGAUCAGCGAAAAGCAACGUCGAGCCUGCUCAGUACUUAGAUGGGUGACCGCUUGGGAAUAUUAGGUGUUGUAAG